CGAGCAUCACCAUCACCAGCACUAGCACCAACACUAUCACCACCACCAACGUUAACACCAGUACCUAAAUCUAUUACAGCAUCACCAAAAACCUUAAUAACAUGCUCAACAAGAAAAAUUUGACCUUCCCUAGUUGCUUCUCUUUUGAUAGCUAUUGCUCCAGCCAAUUCUUUCUUCAUCAAGUCCACCGUUGGGUAUGGUUUUGUUUUAACAAUACCUAAAGUAAGAAAGAAAGGCAUCUCUAAUUCUUACUUAGUAGGUAUAAGACAAGAAUGCACCACCUAUAAAUAAAAGUAGAUAUAUUAAAAUCAAACUAUAGUUUUUAAGAGAUUUACAAUAUUCUAAGUCAUCUGUCGCAACUGAUUACCCAUCUAUUGUAUUAGUUUGCAGUAGAUUGGGUAAUCUAUUAACAGGUUCAGAGAACCUAGUAACUGAUGUACCAUCUGUUGCAUAAGUUAUAGUAGAUGGGUAAUCUGUAGAGAUACGUUACAACAGAUGAACCAUUUGUUGCACCAUUUGUUGUAAAUAAAUAGAUCUUCUAUUGCAAUAAAUGGCCUAUUUGUUGCAAUGUGUUAACUUGUUAACUAGAGUAAAAUUAUUAUAUCUAAAAGAACACUUACUACAUCAUCAGUAGGACUAAAGUGAUCGAGGGGAUUCACCCUUGAGUUGUUC
RNAcentral lists this long non-coding RNA (672 nucleotides) under Capsicum annuum. RNAcentral describes it as "long non-coding RNA (CANN_LNC017237)". The record is from RNAcentral. Lineage: Eukaryota; Viridiplantae; Streptophyta; Magnoliopsida; Solanales; Solanaceae.